Molecule: long non-coding RNA, 426 nt
Filed under: Musa acuminata (dwarf banana)
Lineage: Eukaryota; Viridiplantae; Streptophyta; Magnoliopsida; Zingiberales; Musaceae
Description: long non-coding RNA (MACU_LNC008169)
Source: RNAcentral
UUUGCAGUUAUAAAUAGAAUCGAAACGUAAGUGUAAACCGCAAUGUAGAGAUCGUACGAAAACACCGAUUUACGUCUGAAUGCAGAUUUAGAAAGAACAGAACUUAGAAACUUGUUCGUAAAAGCGCAGAGAGCAGUAGCUAUGUAGGAGGUUUGCAGUAAUGAUAAAGUGCUCAAAAUGAAAGCAAACCAGAGAUUUAGAGUGGUUCGGUCAGUCUUGACCUACUCCACUUUUGGCUUCCUCCACCGACGAGGUCACUGACGUCAACUAGAGGCCUUCCUUCAAUAGGCGAAGGCCAACUGCCACUUUACAGUUUCACUCCUUUUGACGGGCUCAGGAGACAACCCUUACAGAACCUUUCUCUCCUCUCUUUACAACUCAAGACUUGAAGAACAGAAAGAGGAGAACUCUUGGACUUAACACAAA